RNAcentral lists this ribosomal RNA (551 nucleotides) under uncultured Glomeromycotina. Its description in RNAcentral is "SSU rRNA". It matches the Rfam family "Eukaryotic small subunit ribosomal RNA", at positions 548 to 1098 of the family's 1831-position model. Lineage: Eukaryota; Fungi; Glomeromycota. The record is from RNAcentral.
UUGGAGGGCAAGUCUGGUGCCAGCAGCCGCGGUAAUUCCAGCUCCAAUAGCGUAUAUUAAAGUUGUUGCAGUUAAAAAGCUCGUAGUUGAAUUUCGGGAUCAAUACGUCGGUCGUGCUUUUUUGGUACGCACUGGCGUCAUUGGUUUCUCCUUUCUGACGAACCAUGAUGUCAUUAAUUUGGUGUUAUGGGGAGUUAGGACUGUUACUUUGAAAAAAUUAGAGUGUUUAAAGCAGGCAUUAGCUUGAAUACAUUAGCAUGGAAUAAUGAAAUAGGACGUUCGAUCCUAUUUUGUUGGUUUCUAGGAUCAACGUAAUGAUUAAUAGGGAUAGUUGGGGGCAUUAGUAUUCAAUUGUCAGAGGUGAAAUUCUUGGAUUUAUUGAAGACUAACUACUGCGAAAGCAUUUGCCAAGGAUGUUUUCAUUAGUCAAGAACGAAAGUUAGGGGAUCGAAGACGAUCAGAUACCGUCGUAGUCUUAACCAUAAACUAUGCCGACUAGGGAUCGGAUGAUGUUAAUUUUUUAAUGACUCAUUCGGCGCCUUACGGGAAAC